RNAcentral lists this ribosomal RNA (497 nucleotides) under uncultured bacterium. RNAcentral describes it as "partial 16S ribosomal RNA". It matches the Rfam family "Bacterial small subunit ribosomal RNA", at positions 28 to 507 of the family's 1533-position model. The record is from RNAcentral.
GAUGAACGCUGGCGGCGUGCCUAAUACAUGCAAGUCGAGCGAACAGAUGAGGAGCUUGCUCCUCUGACGUUAGCGGCGGACGGGUGAGUAAUACGUGGAUAACCUACCUAUAAGACUGGGAUAACUUCGGGAAACCGGAGCUAAUACCGGAUAAUAUAUUGAACCGCAUGGUUCAAUAGUGAAAGACGGUUUUGCUGUCACUUAUAGAUGGAUCCGCGCCGCAUUAGCUAGUUGGUAAGGUAACGGCUUACCAAGGCAACGAUGCGUAGCCGACCUGAGAGGGUGAUCGGCCACACUGGAACUGAGACACGGUCCAGACUCCUACGGGAGGCAGCAGUAGGGAAUCUUCCGCAAUGGGCGAAAGCCUGACGGAGCAACGCCGCGUGAGUGAUGAAGGUCUUCGGAUCGUAAAACUCUGUUACUAGGGAAGAACAAAUGUGUAAGUAACUAUGCACGUCUUGACGGUACCUAAUCAGAAAGCCACGGCUAACUACGUG